Molecule: transfer RNA, 74 nt
Filed under: Spirochaetaceae bacterium
Lineage: Bacteria; Pseudomonadati; Spirochaetota; Spirochaetia; Spirochaetales; Spirochaetaceae
Description: tRNA-Arg
Rfam family: tRNA
About the family: Transfer RNA (tRNA) molecules are approximately 80 nucleotides in length. Their secondary structure includes four short double-helical elements and three loops (D, anti-codon, and T loops). Further hydrogen bonds mediate the characteristic L-shaped molecular structure. tRNAs have two regions of fundamental functional importance: the anti-codon, which is responsible for specific mRNA codon recognition, and the 3' end, to which the tRNAs corresponding amino acid is attached (by aminoacyl-tRNA synthetases). tRNAs cope with the degeneracy of the genetic code in two manners: having more than one tRNA (with a specific anti-codon) for a particular amino acid; and 'wobble' base-pairing, i.e. permitting non-standard base-pairing at the 3rd anti-codon position.
Source: RNAcentral
GAGAGACUAGCUCAUUUGGAUAGAGCGCGAGCCUCCGGAGCUCGAGGUGGCGGGUUCAAAUCCCGCGUCUCUCA